UACGGGGGGGGCAAGCGUUGUUCGGAAUCACUGGGCGUAAAGGGCGCGUAGGCGGCUUUGUAAGUCGGGGGUGAAAGCCUGUGGCUCAACCACAGAAUUGCCUUCGAUACUGCAUGGCUUGAGACCGGAAGAGGUUAGUGGAACUGCGAGUGUAGAGGUGAAAUUCGUAGAUAUUCGCAAGAACACCAGUGGCGAAGGCGGCUGACUGGUCCGGUUCUGACGUUGAGGCGCGAAAGCGUGGGGAGCAAACAGG
RNAcentral lists this ribosomal RNA (253 nucleotides) under uncultured bacterium. RNAcentral describes it as "partial 16S ribosomal RNA". It matches the Rfam family "Bacterial small subunit ribosomal RNA", at positions 524 to 776 of the family's 1533-position model. The record is from RNAcentral.